GGGCUUGACAUCCCACGAACCUGCCCGAAAGGGUCGGGUGCCCGCAAGGGAGCGUGGAGACAGGUGGUGCAUGGCUGUCGUCAGCUCGUGUCGUGAGAUGUUGGGUUAAGUCCCGCAACGAGCGCAACCCUCACCCCUUGUUGCCACCGGGUCAUGCCGAGCACUCUAGGGGAACUGCCAGCGUCAAACCGGAGGAAGGCGGGGAUGACGUCAAGUCAUCAUGCCCCUUACGCCCUGGGCAACACACGUGCUACAAUGGCUGGUACAAAGGGAUGCAAGACCGCGAGGUGGAGCUAAUCCCAAAAAACCAGUCUAAGUUCAGAUUGCAGUCUGCAACUCGACUGCAUGAAGGAGGAAUCGCUAGUAAUCGCGCAUCAGCACGGCGCGGUGAAUACGUUCCCGGGCCUUGUACACACCGCCCGUCACACCACGAAAGCCGGCUGUACUCGAAGUCGCUGAG
RNAcentral lists this ribosomal RNA (460 nucleotides) under uncultured Methylomirabilota bacterium. Its description in RNAcentral is "bacterial SSU rRNA". It matches the Rfam family "Bacterial small subunit ribosomal RNA", at positions 977 to 1434 of the family's 1533-position model. Lineage: Bacteria; Methylomirabilota (SeqCode). The record is from RNAcentral.